Molecule: ribosomal RNA, 119 nt
Filed under: Oncorhynchus mykiss (rainbow trout)
Lineage: Eukaryota; Metazoa; Chordata; Actinopteri; Salmoniformes; Salmonidae
Source: RNAcentral
GCUUACGGCCACACCGGCCUGAGUACGCCUGUUCUCGUCCGAUCUCGGAAGCUAAGCAGGGUCGGGCCUGGUUAGUACUUGGAUGGGAGACCGCCUGGGAAUACCAGGUGCUGUAAGCU